This 252-nucleotide ribosomal RNA is filed under the name uncultured bacterium. Its description in RNAcentral is "partial 16S ribosomal RNA". It matches the Rfam family "Bacterial small subunit ribosomal RNA", at positions 524 to 776 of the family's 1533-position model. The record is from RNAcentral.
UACGUAGGGGGCAAGCGUUGUCCGGAAUUAUUGGGCGUAACGCGCGCGCAGGCGGCUGUUUAAGUCGGGUGUUUAACCCCAGGGCUCAACUCUGGGUCGCACCCGAACCUGGACGGCGUGAGUGCAGGAGAGGAAAGCGGAAUUCCACGUGUAGCGGUGAGAGGCGGAGAGAUGUGGAGCAACACCAGUGGCGAAGGCGGCUUUCUGGUCGGUAACUGACGCUGAGGCGCGAAAGCGUGCGGAGCAAACAGG